Molecule: long non-coding RNA, 1143 nt
Filed under: Equus caballus (horse)
Lineage: Eukaryota; Metazoa; Chordata; Mammalia; Perissodactyla; Equidae
Description: lncRNA (ENSECAG00000042870.2)
Source: RNAcentral
GUGAAAGCAAGGCCUUCCCUGGGGGCGGAGAUUGUACGAGACUUUGGGAAGUUUCGCUUCCUCUGCAUGGAGCUGGAGAUAGGGAUGUGGAACUUGGGAGAGAGAGAGAGGUGAGAGGGAGGUAUCCGAUCUGAUCGAGGAGUGGACCCUCUGCAAUAUGGCGACUCACCUAGAGCUAAGGAGGCAGGAUGGAAGUGUGCAUGCUUGAGUAGAAAGCAAGUGGCACCAAGAGGAGCUAAACAUGCCGGAGAGGAAGAGCAUAGGUGUGAGCCCACAGACUGAGAAAAAUGAACAUCUUUUAGCUGAAAAAAGAUACCUCAGAAAGAUACGUAGAUCUGACUGGAAAUAGUGUAUCUGCCUUGUGAUGCUCAUUUUUCAUUCCUACCCGUCAAUUAUGCAAGGGCUGAUAUUGAAAUUCAGUUGGUCUGGGGAGACUCUGCUUCUGGCUGUGGGUGACGGACGUGCCUUGCCUCUGGGCUGUUCCAUGCAUCUCAUUCCAGGCUGACAGGCAGCAGCAACUCAGGGCAUAUUCUUCUCCUGGCUACAGCAAGUGAGCAGGGAAUGGCUCAUUUUAAACCUCUGCUCAUGCAACAGGCUCUGACAUCCCAUUGGCCAAAAUGAGUCAUACGCUAAGUCCAAAGUCAAGGGUGGAAAGAACACGCUGCCCACCAUGAGUCCAUGUCAAGGGUAUUGAAGUGUAAUUUUCUAGCAGGAGAAUGAAGAAUUGAGGCCAAUGAUUCAGUUCACCACAGGUUUCCAAGAUUUUUGUAGUCACUUUUCAUCUCACUAAAACCUAUCAUACAAACCCCACCACAGGCAGUGGUAUCUUUGUCAUCUUUCCCCAGAAUAUGUUUUGUUUACUCCCAUCAGAGCUCCCGCUUCAUCAGGAGUUACACUAACACAGCUUUUAACUCAAACAUCCUUUUUUUUUUUUCUUUUUUUAAGUGGAAAUCAUUCCUUAUUGAAUUCACUAUUGAAUUCUUCUCCUGGAUGCCUUUCCUUAGAGAUUCUCACGCACACACAAAAGUAGUCCUCCUCUGUUCUUUAGGGAAACAGAACCCAGAAAACUCUGUCAAGUGAAGCAUGCUGGCCACGUAUGUGUUUUCCUCCGACAGAAUAGCACACUUCCCAAACCACUUCACU